RNAcentral lists this ribosomal RNA (433 nucleotides) under uncultured bacterium. Its description in RNAcentral is "partial 16S ribosomal RNA". It matches the Rfam family "Bacterial small subunit ribosomal RNA", at positions 29 to 507 of the family's 1533-position model. The record is from RNAcentral.
AACGAACGCUGGCGGCAUGCCUAACACAUGCAAGUCGAACGAGACCUUCGGGUCCUUUGUCGCACGGGUUUGUAACGCGUGGGAACCUUCCCUUAGGUUCGGAAUAACUCCCCGAAAGGGGUGCUAACACCGGAUAAUGUCUUCUGACCAAAGAUUUAUCGCCUUUGGAUGGGCCCGCGUUGGAUUAGCUAGUUGGUAGGGUAAAAGCCUACCACGGCGACGAUCCAUAGCUGGUCUGAGAGGAAGAUCAGCCACACUGGGACUGAGACACGGCCCAGACUCCUACGGGAGGGAGCAGUGGGGGAUAGUGGAAAAUGGGCGAAAGCAUGAUGCAGCAAUGCCGCGUGAGUGAUGAAGGCAUUAGGGUUGUAAAGCUCUUUUACCCGGGAUGAUAAUGACAGUACCGGGAGAAUAAGCUCCGGCUAACUCCGUG